GCAAGUCGAACGGCAGCACGGGUGCUUGCACCUGGUGGCGAGUGGCGAACGGGUGAGUAAUACAUCGGAACAUGUCCUGUAGUGGGGGAUAGCCCGGCGAAAGCCGGAUUAAUACCGCAUACGAUCUACGGAUGAAAGCGGGGGACCUUCGGGCCUCUCGCGUCAGGAUAUGCCUAGGUGGGAUUAGCUAGUUGGUGAGGUAAUGGCUCACCAAGGCGACGAUCCCUAGCUGGUCUGAGAGGAUGAUC
Molecule: ribosomal RNA, 248 nt
Filed under: uncultured bacterium
Lineage: Bacteria
Description: partial 16S ribosomal RNA
Rfam family: Bacterial small subunit ribosomal RNA
Source: RNAcentral